This 82-nucleotide transfer RNA is filed under the name Mesostigma viride. RNAcentral describes it as "tRNA-Leu". It matches the Rfam family "tRNA". From Rfam's summary of the family: Transfer RNA (tRNA) molecules are approximately 80 nucleotides in length. Their secondary structure includes four short double-helical elements and three loops (D, anti-codon, and T loops). Lineage: Eukaryota; Viridiplantae; Streptophyta; Mesostigmatophyceae; Mesostigmatales; Mesostigmataceae. The record is from RNAcentral.
GGGCGUGUGGCGGAAUUGGUAGACGCACCACACUCAAAAUGUGGCGGCUUCGGCCAUGAGGGUUCGAGUCCCUCCCCGCUCA